UAGGGUAGCCCCCAAAAUAUUGGGACAUCUAAAAAAAGACAACUCUGUUUCGCAGAGUAGCUGUUGAUAUUAUAGUUGCGCAGGCACUUUGUUGACACUAGAGAACCUUGGGCCAAUUGCACAUCCCCGUGGCGGCGACUUUGCAUGCGGAUGUCAUCCAUAUCAACUUUCGAUGCCAGUUUCUGCGCCUACCAUGGUAACCACGGGUAACGGGGAAUCAGGGUUCCAUUCCGUACAGGGACCCUGAGAUAUGCAGGGUCCCCAUGCAAGGAAGGCAGAAGGCACGCAAAUGACCCACUCACGAUGCGGGAAGGUAGUGA
This 320-nucleotide ribosomal RNA is filed under the name Pelobates cultripes (western spadefoot toad). RNAcentral describes it as "SSU_rRNA_microsporidia". It matches the Rfam family "Eukaryotic small subunit ribosomal RNA", at positions 139 to 470 of the family's 1831-position model. The record is from RNAcentral. Lineage: Eukaryota; Metazoa; Chordata; Amphibia; Anura; Pelobatidae.